Molecule: ribosomal RNA, 2817 nt
Filed under: Ambystoma mexicanum (axolotl)
Lineage: Eukaryota; Metazoa; Chordata; Amphibia; Caudata; Ambystomatidae
Description: eukaryotic LSU rRNA
Rfam family: Eukaryotic large subunit ribosomal RNA
Source: RNAcentral
CCACGGCCUCAGAUCAGACGUGGUGACCUGCUGAAUUUAAGCAUAUUACUAAGCAGGAAAAGGAACUAACCAGGAUUCCCUCAGUAACGGCCAGUGAAAAGGCAAGAGCCCAGCGCCGAAUCCCCAUUCAGCGGCAGCGUGGGAAAUGUGGCGUACAGAAGACCGACUGCCCUCAUCCCCGCAUCGCUCAGGGGGCUCAAGUCCUUCUGAUCUAGUCUCACCACGCAGAUGGUGUUAGGCCGAUAGCGGCCUCUUGCACACCGGGAUCAGGUCUUCUUGGAGUCAGGUUGCUUGGGAAGCAGCCCAAAGCGUGUGGUAAACUCUGUCUAAGGCUAAAUACGGGCGCGAGACUGAUGCCAACAAGUACCGUAAGGGAAAGUUGAACAGAAGUUUGAAGAGAGAGUUCAAGAGGGCUGAAAUGUUGAGAGGUAAACUGGUGGGGUCUGUGCAGUUCGCCCACAGGAUUCAACACGGCAGCCAGGUUGGUCACCUGGAACGGGGAGGCCCUUGCAGGUCUGUGGCCCGGCACAUCCAGCCCAGCAGGCGCAUUUCCACUGUAGCGGUGCACCACGACAGCUGGGAAGGCCCGGGGCAGGUGCUCUCUGCUCCAGCAGAGUGUUACAGCCCCCUGACAGCAGUUUUUCGGCUGAUGACCACCACCGGGCCCUUAUCGGCAACUGUCCUGGCCCCUCUUGGGGGUGCUAGAGUGGCACGGGAGACGGGGCUCCGAUGUGACUGUGGUGGACUGCCCUCAAUACGCCCUGACCACGUCGUGCUGCCGGGCGGGGAGGCCCACAAAGGCGCCAGGGGUCUGAGGUGAUGUCGGUUAACCACCCGACCUGUCUGGAAACACUGACCAAGGAGUAUAACACUGCCGAGUCAGAGGGCCGAAUAAACCCUGUGAUGUAAUGAUGUUGAGGGCCGGUGCCCGGCGAUUGCAGUGGCAUCCUGUCGCGGUGGGCUCUCCACCGACCCGUCUCGCCCGCUCUGUCAGAGAUGAUGCAUGAGCGUGUGUGAUAGGACCCAAAAGAUGGUGAACUCGGCCUGGUGGAGGUCCGUAGCGGUCCUGAUGUGUAAAUCGGUCAUCCGACCUGGGUAUAGGGGCAAAAGACUAAUCGAAUGAUAUAGUAGCUGGUUCUCUCCGAAGUUUCCCUCAGAUAGCUGGCGCACGAAACCCCAGUUUUAUCUAGCAAAGCAAAUGAUUAGAGGUCUUGGGGCAAAAUUAUCUCAACCUACUCUCAAACUUUAAAUGGGUAUGAAGCCCGGCUUGCUGGCGUGGAGCCGGGUAUUGUAUGAAAGUGCUCAGUGGGCAACUUUUGGUAAGCAGAACAGGCGCUGCGGGAUGAACCGCACCCGGGGUUAAGGCGCAUGAUGCAGAUGCUCAUCAGACCCAGAAACGGUGUUGGUUGAUAUAGACAGCAGGAUGGUGGCCAUGGUAGUCGGAUCCGCUAAGGAGUGUGUAACAACUCACCUGUCGAAUCAACUAGCCCUGAAAAUGGAUGGCCCUGGAGCAUCAGGCCCAUACCAGGCCGGCGUUGAGAGCCGCGGGGGCUAAGUCAGGCGAGUAGGAGGGUGCUGCAGUACGCACAGAAGCCCGGGGCGAGGGCCGGGUGGAGCCGCCGCAGGUGCAGAUCUUGGUUGUAGUAGCAAAUAUUCAAACGAGAACUUUGAAGGAUGAAGUGGAGAAGGGUUCCAUGUGAACAGAAGUUGAACAUGGGUCAGUCAGUCCUAAGAGAUGGGCGAGCGCCGUUCGGAAGGGAUGGGCUAUGGCCUCCGUUGCCCUCAGCCGAUCGACAGGGAGUCGGUUCAGAUCGCCGAACCAGAGUGGCAAGACGGGCACCCUUGCGGCGUCCAGUGCGGUAACGCAAAUGAUCCUUAGAGAAGCCGCGGGAGCCGGAGGAGAGUUCUUUUCUUUGUGAAGGGCAGGGCACCCUGGAAUGGGUUUGCCCCGAGAAAGGGGCCGAGCCUUGGAAAGGGUUGCGGUUUCGGCAGCGAUCCGGUGAGCUCUCGCUGGUCCUUUGAAAAUUCGGGAGAUGCUAAAUCUGCGCCAGGUCCGUACCCAUAUCCGCAGCAGGUCUCCAAGGCGGACAGCCUCUGGCAUGUCAGAACAAUGUAGGUACGGGAAGUCGACAAAUUAAAUCCUUAACUUUGGGAUUAGGAUUGGCUCUAAGGGCUGGGUCGGUCGGGCUGGGGCGCAAAGCAGGGCUGGGUGUGCACCAUGGCUGGAUGAGGCGUCUCCCCCCAGGGGCGGCUCUGCCUCUGGAUGCCAGCCGGGCCCUUCCUGUGGAUCACCCCAGCUGCAGUGUUCGCCUCUCUCAUUCCCCCUCCUGGGGUUUAGGGCCGGCAUUCUGCCUCGGCCGACACCUAGCAGCUGACUUGGAACUGGUGCGGACCAAGGGAAUCUGACUGAUUAAUUAAAACAAAGCAUUGCGAAGGCCGUGGAGGGUGUUGACACAAUGUGAUUUCUGCCAAGUGCUCUGAAUGUCAAAGUGAAGAAAUUCAAUGAAGCGUUGGUAAACGGCUGGGGUAACUAUGACCUUUAAGGUAGCCAAAGCCUUGUCAUCUAAUUAGUGAUGUGCAUGAAUGGAUGAAUGAGAUUCCCACUGUUCCUACCUACUAUCUAGCCGAAACCCACAGCCAAGGGAACAAGCGUGGCAGAAUCGUCAGGGAAGAAGAUCCAGUUGAGUUUGAUGAAGUCUGGCACUGUGAAGAGACAUGAGAGGUAGAAUAAGUGGGAGGGCCCUUGGGCCGCUGGUGAAUACCACUACUCUUAUUGUUUUUCCACUUACCCGGUGAGGCGUGGGGGCGAGCCCCGUG